UGUUAAAGAUUUCAUCCAUUUCUAGUGUUAAAAAUUGGCAUGGCUAACAGAAUAACCAGACAGUUACAAACCAAUUUUUAACAGAAAAAAUAGAUGAAAUUUUUAUUA
Molecule: non-coding RNA, 108 nt
Organism: Gossypium raimondii (Peruvian cotton)
Lineage: Eukaryota; Viridiplantae; Streptophyta; Magnoliopsida; Malvales; Malvaceae
Source: Rfam